This 250-nucleotide long non-coding RNA is filed under the name Sinocyclocheilus anshuiensis. RNAcentral's name for it is "lncRNA (ENSSANG00000026360.1)". The record is from RNAcentral. Lineage: Eukaryota; Metazoa; Chordata; Actinopteri; Cypriniformes; Cyprinidae.
AAAACCACUAUUAACGGCAAUGAUUAUAUGUUGCGAUAAUAAUUUUCCUUCUUGUAGUUGAAACUUCAGAAGACAUCCAGAAAGCAUGGGAAGUGAUAAGGAAGAUUAUGAUACGGCUGAACACACUGACAGAGCAGUGGCAAGGGCAGUAUCUGACUGUCCACAGUCCCUAGGACUUGAGGAAAAACAAACUUGCCUUAAUGGACACCAACGAAGGACGGAGUUGCUGUUCCCUUGAACUCCUGAUGCU